AACACACACACACACACACACACACACACACACACACACACACACACACAGUAGCAGAUUCUGUGUGUCUGGUCACAAGAAGACCCAGAAGUUUUGACAACCACUAAAGUGUGUAAUGUCAUUUUUGUCACGUCAUUUCCUGAUCACUUACUUAAAACAUCUUCCAAAUUGUUGAAGGGAUUUAGUGCCUGAGACAAGAUUCUGUUCAUCACCUUGAAAGUGCAAAAACAGUAAGAAUGGUAUUGCAGUUUUUCGUCCUUCUGGUUUUCUUCCUCGGUAGUGGCCAUGGUCUUCCAAAUGGACAAUGACCUUAAGUAUACCAACAAAGUGGCUUAAGGACAACAACAUCAAUGCUUUGGAGUGGGGAUUACAAAGCCCUGCUCUCAAUCCUAUAGAAAAUUUGUGAGCAGAGCUGAGCUUGUGGAAGGAAAAAAUGUUUGACCCAAAUCAUACAGGCAUACAUCACAAAGGCAAUGCUACCAAAUACCAGAGGUGUAAAUAGUACCCAAAAAUCAUACUUACAAAUACCUUACUGCAAAAAAUGACUCCAUUACAAGUUACAAGUCACCAAUUCCAAUACGACUUUUGUAAAAGUCUUAAAGUAUCCAAUUUUAACAGCACUUGAAGAUUUUACUGAAUGUAGGCUCAAAGAUGCACUAGACCUCAACAUGAAAACUAAUGUCAGUAAAAAAAACAAGGAACUGAUCAUUUGUGAGGUUUUAUUUCAUAUAAUAGAAAGGAAGUUAAACACCUUUAUAUUUCAUUAAAUCUUAAACACUGAAGAACAAAACAAGUAUCAAACGUCAGUCUGAGUCAAACUCAGGCAUAAAAAAGGAAUAAAAAGGCAUAAAACUAUUUUUCAAAAAGGUAUUUUCAGUACAAUUGACUGAAAAAUAAUUAGAAUAAAUAAAUGAAUUAAAUAAUUUAAAAGUUAAAUAAAAUAAUCAGAGCAGACUGCGAUAUGAUUUACCCCUCAGUCUCAGAGGGGGGCAAUAUGUUUAUUCAACUUUAACGUCCACAGCUGAGCAGAAGAUCCGAGAACAACCCCCAACACAGUGUCUGAAAACCUCUGGCUUCAACUGUAGAUAGUUAUAGAAAGAUAAAGAUAAAUCUCUGAUUAACUGAAAUCUAGAAGAUUCUUUUCUUCCUGUAUUUAAAUGAAAGGGAAAAAUCUGUUAUACUUCGUACUCAUAAGUGUAAUAUUAAUAAUAAAAUACAUUUAGUAAAAAAGUAAUUGUUUAAUGACUGAAUGCUCCUCUCAAUAAGAUUUUUUCCAUCUUUCUUAAGGACAUAUUGAAUUCAUUUAUACAACAAAGAAUGAAGUAAAAUUGUUCUGCAACACCAACAAAUGGCAAUUAAGCACAAAAUCUAACAACUACAUUGAUGUGAGUUGCACAGUGAAGUGUGUUCCUGGUGAACAGCUCAAACUUAACAAUAUUCAGAAAUUCUGUACAAAUGAAGAUUCAGAUAAAGUUGAGGAAAAAUGUCCACUAAUAGCAACCAGUGGAUUUUUUCGAUGUGUCACUGCUCUGGAUUCUGGUUCCUUGUUUCCAUUCGCACCGUCUCCCAACACUGUCACCUCAUACAUAGUCGCCACUGCAAAUGAAUCCAUAACAAACAAGUCUGUGGAAAGAUCUUCAGUCGUGCUCACUGAAGGUGAAGAUGUGCUUUUAAACUGCAGAUUCAUCCGUACAGAAGGAUAUGACAACAUAUAUUUUGCUGUUUACUGGAUCAAGACCAUUGAAAAGAAGAGUAUCUGUGUGCAUUCUUAUGAUUAUAAAAGGCUUAUUGGUAUUAAUUACAAUCCCUAUUGCAAUGUACAAGAAGAUCUGCUUCACCGGGUCUCAGUCCAAAAACCCAUAAGCAUAGGCACCCAUAACAUCAGGAUCAGUAACAUAACAGAGUCAGAUGCUGGACAAUAUCUUUGUGGUUUACGAGUGCACCCAUUUUCAAAUACAAAAGUAAUGUGGAAGAUUAUAAAUAAUAUCACAGUCAAUGUAAAUAAAGGUCCUGAAAUAGCUGGAAACCGAUUGGGUAAGUUUCAACCAUAUUGAUUUGUGUCUAUUAAGUAUUUGGACAGAGGAAAAUGGAACACAUUUAAUUAUUUGUACACAGAUGUUGAGUCUCUCAUACGCUUGUGUGUUACACUGCCAAUAAUACUGGGUGUUCCGAUAGCUGCUGUGGUGGUGCGUUUAUGGAAAAAGAAUAAAACCUCAGCCAGAUCUCAAACCAUGGAACUGCGAACAAUCAAAGAUAGAGAAGAAACGUCUGAAAUGAGCUUUGAAGCAUGACCACAACACAGCACUUUGGAAGAGUGAAUGUUUAAAAUGUGUUAAUAUCUGCUCUCUAUUAUGAUCUAUUUUGUUUACUUUAACUGUCCUAUUAUAUGUGUUGUAAAAAAUGUACA
This is an RNA transcript of Tachysurus fulvidraco (yellow catfish), 2407 nucleotides long. RefSeq lists it as uncharacterized. The record is from RefSeq and is a predicted model, not a curated record. The transcript has 6 exons. NCBI's taxonomy places the organism in Eukaryota, Metazoa, Chordata, Actinopteri, Siluriformes, Bagridae.